This 491-nucleotide ribosomal RNA is filed under the name uncultured bacterium. RNAcentral's name for it is "partial 16S ribosomal RNA". It matches the Rfam family "Bacterial small subunit ribosomal RNA", at positions 29 to 506 of the family's 1533-position model. The record is from RNAcentral.
AGUGAACGCUGGCGGUAGGCCUAACACAUGCAAGUCGAACGGCAGCACAGUAAGAGCUUGCUCUUACGGGUUGCGAGUGGCGGACGGGUGAGGAAUACAUCGGAAUCUACUUUUUCGUGGGGGAUAACGUAGGGAAACUUACGCUAAUACCGCAUACGACCUACGGGUGAAAGCAGGGGAUCUUCUGACCUUGCGCGAUUGAAUGAGCCGAUUUCGGAUUAGCUAGUUGGCGGGGUAAAGGCCCACCAAGGCGACGAUCCGUAGCUGGUCUGAGAGGAGGAUCAGCGACACUGGAACUGAGACACGGCACAGGCUCCUACGGGAGGCAGCAGUGGGGAAUGUUGGACAAUGGGCGCAAGCCUGAUCCAGCCAUACCGCGUGGGUGAAGAAGGCCUUCGGGUUGUAAAGCCCUUUUGUUGGGAAAGAAAAGCAGCAGGUUAAUACCCCGCUGUUCUGACGGUACCCAAAGAAUAAGCACCGGCUAACUUCGG